AAAAAUACACUUUCAUCUUGCCUCGCUUUUCUGAGACAAUCAGUAUCAUAUAAAAUAUUUUUAAAAUGUGCGAACUUUGUGCGUCGACAACUUUCAUAUGAAACUUUUUCUCGAAAGUUCUAUUGAGAGACUAAAACGCGCGAAAAGAAAACUUUGCGCUACUGUUGGCCACUCUAGCCCCACCAUCGUUCCACACACAAGAUAGUACAAAUACAGCAGUAGCAGCAGUUAAAGGACCAGAAAUCGGAGAAGUGUAGGAAGGUAAACUUCGACCGUUACAUUAAUUCCAAUUUAACAUGGAGUUAAUGUCUGCAAUUCGUCCUUACUCUUCAUGCUUUCAUUUCUAAUUUCCAACAUCACACACAUAAAAAAAAACAAGUGAACCGCAAUCGUUUCCGUUGCAACAAAUAACUCUUUUUAGUAAACCAAGGCAUAUCAAACAUCCAAAACCCAUGAUAAAGUUGGCCUUCUUUGGCUGUUGCGAACAUUUUCUUGCCAAGUGUGUUUUCAAAGCUGCCCUGAUAACCUUUGACAUGUUUGGGACCACUAUCCAUACCGUAAACAACUUGAAAUAUUCAUAUUUACUUCAAGUACGUUGGCAUGUGCGAGUCGAUUUCUUGAAGAAAUGUUGCACAUAUUCCUGAAGAUGGCCGUGGUUGCACUGCUAGCAACGGCAGUGUUUUCACGGACAAUUGAUGAUUUUAUUAUCAAUCCUGAAGAGUUUGAACGUCUUCAAAACACUGCCACCACCGGAAGUUACAUGAUUGUAGACCGAUUUUUGGCCGAUAUUAAAUGUAAACCGAAACACGUAAAAAUCGCAGGCAAAUGUUUCCGAAUAUACUGAAAAUCCGUUUAGUUGAAGUUCUACUUUAGCUUUAUUUCAAAAUGUUUUGAUAUGAAUGUUUGCCAAUAAAUAGUCCGAUGGUU
Dendroctonus ponderosae (mountain pine beetle) is the source of this 927-nucleotide long non-coding RNA. RefSeq lists it as uncharacterized. The transcript is spliced from 2 exons. NCBI's taxonomy places the organism in Eukaryota, Metazoa, Arthropoda, Insecta, Coleoptera, Curculionidae. The record is from RefSeq and is a predicted model, not a curated record.